GCAGACACAUUCCAGCCAAUCAGCAGCAGACCCUCCCUCCCAGACCCUCCCACCUCCUGGACAGCAUCCAGCAUCCAUUUUGAAGCUGCAUUCUUAGUGAGCUGUCCAGGAGGUCGGAGGGUCUGGGAGGGAGGGUCUGCUGCUGAUUGGCUGGAAUGUGUCUG
Pelobates cultripes (western spadefoot toad) is the source of this 164-nucleotide non-coding RNA. NCBI's taxonomy places the organism in Eukaryota, Metazoa, Chordata, Amphibia, Anura, Pelobatidae. The record is from the annotation of a GenBank genome assembly.